CUAAGAGCGAAUGGUGGAUGCCUUGGUUGGUAGAGGCGAUGAAAGACGUGCUAGACUGCGAUAAGUCUCGGGGAGUUGUCAAGGAGCUUUGAUCCGGGAAUUUCUGAAUGGGGAAACCCAGUAUAUAGUGAUAUAUACUACCUAUAUGGAGCAAACGUGGGGAAUUGAAACAUCUUAGUACCCACAGGAAAAGAAAUCAAAUGAGAUUACGAAAGUAGCGGCGAGCGAAAUCGUAAAAGGGCAAACCACUAGUUUACUAGUGGGGUUGUAGGACUGUAACAUAGACUAAAAAGAGUUAAUAGAAUAAUCUGGAAAGUUUAAGCAUAGAGGGUGAUACUCCCGUAUAUGAAAACUCUUUUUUACUUAACAGUAUCCUGAGUAGGGCGAGGCACGUGAAACCUUGUCUGAAUCUGGGAAGACCACUUUCCAACCCUAAAUACUACUACCAAACCGAUAGUGAACAAGUACCGUGAGGGAAAGGUGAAAAGAACGGGGGUGACCCGAGUGAAAUAGAACCUGAAACCAUUUGCUUACAAUCAUUCAGAGCACGAUUCUUUAUGACGUGUGAUGGACUGCCUUUUGCAUAAUGAGCCUGCGAGUUGUGAUAUCUGGCAAGGUUAAGGAAAUCCGGAGCCGUAGCGAAAGCAAGUCUUAAUAGGGCGUUUAGUCAGAUAUUGCAGACCCGAAACGAAGUGAUCUAUCCAUGAGCAGGUUGAAACCGGUGUAAGAGCCGGCGGAGGACCGAACCCGCUGACGUUGAAAAGUCUUGGGAUGACUUGUGGAUAGGGGUGAAAGGCCAAUCAAACUUCGUGAUAGCUGGUUCUCUCCGAAAUAUAUUUAGGUAUAGCGUUAUGUAGUAAUUAGAGGGGGUAGAGCACUGAAUGGGCUAGGGCAUACACCAAUGUACCAAACCCUAUCAAACUCCGAAUACCUUUAAUGUAAUCAUAGCAGUCAGGCGGCGAGUGAUAAAAUCCGUCGUCAANNAAGUGGUAGGAGAGCGUUGUAUUUAGCGUUGAAGAUGUACCGGUAAGGAGCGUUGGAGCAAAUACAAGUGAGCAUGCAGGCAUGAGUAGCGUUAAAUCAGGUGAGAAUCCUGAUCGCCGAAAACCCAAGGUUUCCUACGCGAUGCUCGUCAUCGUAGGGUUAGUCGGGUCCUAAGCAAAGUCCGAAAGGGGUAUGCGAUGGAAAAUUGGUUAAUAUUCCAAUACCAAUUAUUAUGUGCGAUGGAAGGACGCUUAAAGUUAGUGGAGCUAACUGAUGGAAUAGUUAGUCUAAGGUCGUAGGUUGAGUUAUAGGCAAAUCCGUAACUCUUUAUCCGAAAGCUUAAAGGCUUACAAAGCUCUUCGGAGUAGCGUAAGAAUCCAUGAUACUAUAGAGCCAAGAAAAGUUUCUAAGUUUAGUAAUAAUUGCCCGUACCGUAAACCGACACAGGUGGGUGGGAUGAGUAUUCUAAGGCGCGUGGAAGAACUCUCUUUAAGGAACUCUGCAAAAUAGCACCGUAUCUUCGGUAUAAGGUGUGCCUACCAGGGUGCAAGCCCUAGAGGUUACAACAAAGAGUCCCUCCCGACUGUUUACCAAAAACACAGCACUCUGCUAACACGUAAGUGGAUGUAUAGGGUGUGACGCCUGCCCGGUGCUCGAAGGUUAAUUGAUGGAGUUAGCAUUAGCAAAGCUCUUGAUCGAAGCCCGAGUAAACGGCGGCCGUAACUAUAACGGUCCUAAGGUAGCGAAAUUCCUUGUCGGUUAAAUACCGACCUGCAUGAAUGGCGUAACGAGAUGGGAGCUGUCUCAAAGAGGGAUCCAGUGAAAUUGUAGUGGAGGUGAAAAUUCCUCCUACCCGCGGCAAGACGGAAAGACCCCGUGGACCUUUACUAUAGCUUGACACUGCUACUUGGAUAAAGAUGUGCAGGAUAGGUGGGAGAUUAUGAUCUAUAGAUGCUAGUCUAUAAGGAGUCGUCCUUGAGAUACCACUCUUCUUUAUUCGGGUAGCUAACUAGCCUAAGUUAUCCUUAGGUAGGACAAUGUCUGGUGGGUAGUUUGACUGGGGCGGUCGCCUCCCAAAUAAUAACGGAGGCUUACAAAGGUUGGUUCAAAACGGUUGGAAAUCGUUUGUAGAGUAUAAAGGCAAAAACCAGCUUAACUGCGACACCGACAAGUGGAGCAGAGACGAAAGUCGGUCUUAGUGAUCCGGUGGUUCUGUGUGGAAGGGCCAUCGCUCAAAGGAUAAAAGGUACCCCGGGGAUAACAGGCUGAUCUCCCCCAAGAGCUCACAUCGACGGGGAGGUUUGGCACCUCGAUGUCGGCUCAUCGCAUCCUGGGGCUGGAGCAGGUCCCAAGGGUAUGGCUGUUCGCCAUUUAAAGCGGUACGCGAGCUGGGUUCAGAACGUCGUGAGACAGUUCGGUCCCUAUCUGCCGUGGGCGUAAGAAGAUUGAGGAGAGUUGACCCUAGUACGAGAGGACCGGGUUGAACCAACCACUGGUGUAUAAGUUGUCCUGCCAAGGGCACCGCUUAGUAGCUAAGUUGGGAUGUGAUAAGAGCUGAAAGCAUCUAAGCUCGAAGCCAACUCCAAGAUUAAUCUUCUUUU
RNAcentral lists this ribosomal RNA (2585 nucleotides) under Campylobacter ureolyticus. RNAcentral's name for it is "bacterial LSU rRNA". It matches the Rfam family "Bacterial large subunit ribosomal RNA". Lineage: Bacteria; Pseudomonadati; Campylobacterota; Epsilonproteobacteria; Campylobacterales; Campylobacteraceae. The record is from RNAcentral.